UUGAACCCAUGACCCCUGACUCCAAAGCCCGGGCUCUUUCCACUGAGCCACACAGCUUCUCUUGUACUUUGUUCCAGAGGUAUUGAGGUUUAUUUCUGGAGGAGUAAUCACAGUUCUAUGUCCCAAAAGCAGCCUCAACAACACGACUUAUCCCUACUGGGUACCUGCCCGUUAACACCUUUGAAGAAAUGUGGUGUUUGGUGAUAAGGAAAAACGGCUCUCCCAGAGUUAGAUUCUUUCCACAGCACACCUGUUCGGAGUGGCAGAGAGGUUGGAAUUUCAACCUACAUCCCAGCUGCCCUUCUCUGCGGAACAAACAACUGCCAUAGGA
Long non-coding RNA from Tachyglossus aculeatus (Australian echidna), 331 nucleotides. RefSeq lists it as uncharacterized. The record is from RefSeq and is a predicted model, not a curated record. The transcript is spliced from 3 exons. Lineage: Eukaryota; Metazoa; Chordata; Mammalia; Monotremata; Tachyglossidae.